CCUGAGACCUCACAAAACUAUGCAACAUUCUGAUAACUGUCCCACAUUUAACAUGGCCCCCAAGUGGUCAUCAGAAUGACAAAUUACCCUUCAAUGAUGUAAAUUCUAAGCACUAUAGAAAAUCUCUAAGUUCAAUUAAAUAAUUUAUAAAGUACAAGGUUCGUUUAACAAGUCACUUCUGUGUAUAAUUAUAAAAUUUUACCAGAAAGUGCAUAUGAAUAUAUAUGUCUUGUUGUACACACAUGCAAAAAUAUGUACUGACUCUGUAUUUGGGAUGUCUGUAUCCUAGAAAUGUUUUCAUUAGCACCCCCAUACAGCAGCACCCCUCACUUGAUUAAUAAGGAUUUUAAAUGUCUUUAAAGUACCUGAGGUGUUACUGGCUUAAUUAUUAGAAACUGGGACCAAAACUGGCUUAGGUUAUUAUUAUUUUUAACUAUACCUCACAUAGUACUCACAUUAUGACUUGUUCCUUUUCUCUGUGUUUUUUUCUGGAACUAUAUUCCUUCACACACUCGCUUCAUCCCCAGAUUGAAAUGAAGGCAGUGACAACAAAUUCAACCAUUGGAUCCAAAUGUAAUAACACUGUCCAAAGAAAAAAACAUGACCAUGUUUUUCCAUAUCUCUCCACCAGAUCCUUCCAGAACACCUCUUUUGUGGUUUGAAUGAGAAAUUACACUCAUGGGCUCAUGCAUUUGAACACCUAGUCCCUGGUUGGUGGUCCAGUCCGGCUAUGGAACCUUUAGGAGGUGGACAGAGCCAUGUUGGAGAAAGUCAUUGGGGUAGUCAUUGUGAGUUCAUAAGCCUAUAUUUCACUUCCUGUUUACUUCCUGGUAGACAGAUAUUAUGUGCUUCUUCAGCUUCCUGCUCUAGCUGCCUGCCUACCAUUGUGAGCAGAGAAGAGUACCAUGGAUGAGAAGAUGCUAUUCAGAGGACAGAAGCCAGCACACAGGUAACAACCACAAGCCAAAGAAUGAAUGCAAAGGAUAGCUUUCAACAAGAAAGGAAAGAAAACUUUGCACAGUUCUGCUGCAGGAGCCUCCCCAGGAAACUAGGCCUGCACACUUAAAUAUUCCAAAAACCAAGAGAGACUCCACUAAUUUCUGUUCUUUUCUACCAUCCAGUUGUGGGUGAUUUCCUACAGUAGCCUGAGAAAACUAACACAGCCCCCCAAUUUUUUUCCUUAUAUUCCUUGUUUGGCCAUGUGUUCAUUUGUUUCUAAACUAAUCACAUGGAAGGAAACUGAUCAACACCCCUAAUUCAGAUGAGUCAUUUGUGGCAGAAGGCAUUGUGUGAAUAUGGGGGUCAAUCACAAGGAACAAACCUGUCACAUUUGCUCUCUUUUUCCUUUUUCCUUCAUAUGUUCAAUCAAAAACAUCUGUAGACUUUGCCUUGCAAAGGUCUUUGUGUAUGCAUAUUUAUUUUUUGAAUUUUCGAUACUUCAAAGCAUUGUGAUACCAUUUGAGAGAGGGGGGAAAAAACAUGUGCAGAAGUAUUUUUAGUAUUUGGUACACACUGGAAUUUAUGUUCUGCAUAAAUCAAUAUGUUGACAUUCUAACCCUCAUGAUUAUUAGCAGGUAGGGCCUUUGCCAGGUUACUGAGAUACGAUGGCUUUCUUGUCCUGACUGCUACAGUGUCUCUAUAAGAAGAAUGCAUGAAGUCAACUCUACCAGCACCUCACAGUCUCUAGCUCAAAGGAGGCAUUGGCAGAGUUUGAUUCUGCUAAAACUCAGACCUCAGACUUCCAGCUUCCAGAGCGGCGAGGAACGAAAUUCUACUGCCUAUCAGCCACCCUGUCUGUGUUGGUUUGCUACAGUAGCUCAAAUGUUUGGGGGUGCCACACAUUGCCCAUUAACUGUUGUUCACGACCUCACAAAUAGGUGAUUAUUUUUACUCUUUUCUCAUACACUGUCCAAAUGUUUCUAGAUGAAAAUGUUUCUGUAUUGUUAUGGGUGCCUUGCCUGCACAUAAUGUGUUCCUUGC
This 1980-nucleotide long non-coding RNA is filed under the name Mus caroli (Ryukyu mouse). RNAcentral describes it as "predicted gene 43567 (MGP_CAROLIEiJ_G0006080.1)". The record is from RNAcentral. Lineage: Eukaryota; Metazoa; Chordata; Mammalia; Rodentia; Muridae.